UUGACUGUGUAAACCCUUUACUUGGCUUUUUAGCUUAUUGCUGUCAUUUUUUAAUUUGCAAAUGUCAUCCUCUAAAACUUCUGUGCGAUGUGGCAACUGUUGGUCUUCCAAUUCUCCAAUUUGACCAGAUAACGCUUGACCUUCUAAGUUUUCCAUGCGACUUUUCAAACCAUCUGUACGGCUUACUACAUCUUGUCAGUGAGAAAAUAAGUGAUGUUAAAUUUAAAACGAAGACCAAUCAAAGAGAACACAACACAAGUCCUUUAAAUUCAUGACCUUUAAAAUUGUAAUUUAAACAUUUUCUUUUCAAUAUAAAUGCACCAUUCGUAAAAGCACAUAAAAUAAAAUAAAUUUUUGAUUUUGUAGACUACUUAUUUACUUACUCGAGCCAUGCUUUGACAAGGAAUAUAUAUAGUCGUAUAUACGACAAUAUCAUGAGCAACAUUUAAUUUUUUUUUUUUUAAUAUUUUCGACAAAUAGUUUUUUAAUAAUUUAACAUUAGUUGGGGCGGAGUAUAGGGAGAAUAUUGGAGGGGGGAUUUAUGAAGUCCUAAGAGAUAGGAAGUUGCAAAAACUGAGUAGAAAAUUAGACAAAACUAAAUGACAUAAAUAGAAGGCUAACUUCAAGAAAAUAUAAACGUCCUGUGAAAUCAAGAAUUAUAAAAGAUUCUUAUUAAAAGUGCAGAAGCAAGAAAAAUAU
Molecule: long non-coding RNA, 699 nt
Organism: Hydractinia symbiolongicarpus
Lineage: Eukaryota; Metazoa; Cnidaria; Hydrozoa; Anthoathecata; Hydractiniidae
Exons: 2
Source: RefSeq, a predicted model, not a curated record